Molecule: ribosomal RNA, 177 nt
Filed under: Glebocarcinus amphioetus
Lineage: Eukaryota; Metazoa; Arthropoda; Malacostraca; Decapoda; Cancridae
Description: partial 16S rRNA
Source: RNAcentral
GCUUUAUAUUAUUAGCUAGAUCUAGCUGAAAUAAAUAAAUUAAAGGUUUUAGCAAGCUUAUUAUAUUCUAUUGGGGAGGUAUAAGUAUAAUUUAAAAUGUAAUUGCUUAUAGAUGAAUACAUUAGAUAGUUGGUUAAGAUUUUAAUGAUCCUUUAAAUAAAGAAUUAAGACUAAGUU